GACGAACGCUGGCGGCGUGCCUAAUACAUGCAAGUCGAGCGGAGUGAAUCGGGAGCUUGCUCCUGAUUCAUUUAGCGGCGGACGGGUGAGUAACACGUAGGCAACCUGCCUGUAAGACUGGGAUAACUAGCGGAAACGUUAGCUAAUACCGGAUAAUUCAGUGUCUCGCAUGAGGGAUUGAUGAAAGACGGAGCAAUCUGUCACUUACAGAUGGGCCUGCGGCGCAUUAGCUAGUUGGUGAGGUAACGGCUCACCAAGGCGACGAUGCGUAGCCGACCUGAGAGGGUGAACGGCCACACUGGGACUGAGACACGGCCCAGACUCCUACGGGAGGCAGCAGUAGGGAAUCUUCCGCAAUGGACGAAAGUCUGACGGAGCAACGCCGCGUGAGUGAUGAAGGUUUUCGGAUCGUAAAGCUCUG
Molecule: ribosomal RNA, 421 nt
Filed under: Paenibacillus sp. R-23070
Lineage: Bacteria; Bacillati; Bacillota; Bacilli; Caryophanales; Paenibacillaceae
Description: bacterial SSU rRNA
Rfam family: Bacterial small subunit ribosomal RNA
Source: RNAcentral